AUAGCCUCAGUAACGGCGAGUGAAGCGGCUACAGCUCAAAUUUGAAAUCUGGCCUCCUUUGGUGGUCCGAGUUGUAAUUUGCAGAGGAUGCUUUGGCAUUGGCGGCGGUCUAAGUUCCUUGGAACAGGACAUCGCAGAGGGUGAGAAUCCCGUACGUGGGCGCCUGCCUUUGCCGUGUAAAGCUCCUUCGACGAGUCGAGUUGUUUGGGAAUGCAGCUCUAAAUGGGAGGUAAAUUUCUCCUAAAGCUAAAUACCGGCCAGAGACCGAUAGCGCACAAGUAGAGUGAUCGAAAGAUGAAAAGUACUUUGGAAAGAGAGUCAAAUAGCACGUGAAAUUGUUGAAAGGGAAGCGCUUGCAGCCAGACUUGCCCGCAGUUGCUCACCCAGGCUCUCGCCUGGGGCACUCUUCUGCGGGCAGGCCAGCAUCAGUUUGGGCGGUCGGAUAAAGGCUCCUGUCAUGUACCACCCCUCGGGGUGGCCUUAUAGGGGGAGCGCAAUGCGACCAGCCCGGACUGAGGUCCGCGCAUCUGCUAGGAUGCUGGCGUAAUGGCUGUAAGCGGCCCGUCUUGAAACACGGACCAAGGAGUCUAACAUCUAUGCGAGUGUUUGGGUGUCAAGCCCGGGCGCGCAAUGAAAGUGAACGGAGGUGGGAACCUUUCGGGGUGCACCAUCGACCGAUCCUGAUGUCUUCGGAUGGAUUUGAGUAAGAGCAUAGCUGUUGGGACCCGAAAGAUGGUGAACUAUGCUUGAAUAGGGUGAAGCCAGAGGAAACUCUGGUGGAGGCUCGCAGCGGUUCUGACGUGCAAAUCGAUCGUCAAAUUUGGGCAUAGGGGCGAAAGACUAAUC
Molecule: ribosomal RNA, 846 nt
Filed under: Pseudopithomyces entadae
Lineage: Eukaryota; Fungi; Ascomycota; Dothideomycetes; Pleosporales; Didymosphaeriaceae
Description: partial large subunit ribosomal RNA
Rfam family: Eukaryotic large subunit ribosomal RNA
Source: RNAcentral